CCUUCUAACACAUUUCCACAGGAAGAAAUGAGUUUACUGCCAGGAAGAGGAAGCACCCUCCUAUCCAGUUGAUCCGGGGAUGCACAGCUUUAUUUUCUAGAUCGAGACUUGUCCUUGAUACUUAAGAAGCAGUCUGAAACAGCUCCGUGAACUGUCAUCCUGACAACUCUAUCCUCGGAGCACUAUCCUUACCUCCACUGCACAGUGGAGGUGGCUCGGCGUGGAGGAAAGACGAGGUCAAGAGCACCAGGCUCCCCUGCAGCAGAGCCUGUGGCCGCAGCCAGUGGGCCCACGGUGCCCGAGCCUCACCGGCUCGCUCGCACCAUCUCCGCGGCCACACGGAAUAGGGUGCCCUUCCCUGGCGCUGAUGUAGCAGACGUGCCCCCUCCUUCUCACUUCUAUCUCAUCUAACAGUCACAUCACCUGGCAGGCGAGGCGUUAGCAUCUCCCGGUGGCAUGUGCAGGGAAGGCGACAUUUGGAAAUUAGGUGCCUUGCAGAUAAUCAGCUGCAGAGCUGCAAGUGGCCUAGCAUCCUUCACGGCCUCAAAAGGUCACCGACACAGGUGGAGCUGGUGGCUUGGAAGGCUGGAGAAAAAGCCCAUGUGCUCCAGUCAACAGGGAUGGGGCAGCAACACGAGGAGAGGGAUGCGGAGUCGGAGUAGUGAGGAUCUGCUAUGCUCCAGGUGUCUUUGUGGCCUCCGAGAGACAGAUGAAUAAUAAAACGCCACGCUGCCGUGGGCAGAGGCGCUGGGAGGGCCACGGAAGCAGCACCGCCGAGCCAGCAGCCUUCGCCCGAUGGGGAGCCGUUUCCAGAUAGAACCCAAUUUGUUAUCUGCUCUUUUCCUGCCAAAAAUCCCGAUGAGUCAAAAUGGGCCUGUCUGUCACAGCACUUGAUGGCAGGACGAUGCUGGGCAGGGGGACCGAGCGGUCCCCGGAGGACAGGCAGGCCUAGGAAGGAUGCUGGGCAUCGUGCACGGCCCUCCUCCUCCCUGAGGGCGCCCACUGGGGUUGUGAAACCCCAGCACUGACUUUAUAACCUUGACCGGUCAUCCCCACAACCUCCACCCCCAACCCGGGAGCCUGCAAUCCUCUGCCGUAGAGAUAAUAAACCAAGGAGCACGCAGGACACCCCCAGUGUGCCUGCCAUGGUUCCAACGGCUGUCCAUGCACCAGCUGCUGUGCCACAGCCUGUAGCCACGGUAGCGUUAGGAUCCCGCUUUACAGAUGCAGCGCCGGGGUCACUGGGCUGAAGGAACAUGUCCAAGGUCACACAGUGUGUUAGUGGAAAAACCUGGACUAAGUUCAGACACGCAUAGAUGCAUACUUGGGGAGGGGGGGCAGGCAUUGAGGAAAACUGGGAGUGUGGUCAUCCUAGAGGUCGGGGUUGGGGUAGGACGGGAAGGGAAGGAUAUAGUGGAGAAGAGCAAUGAGCGUCUGCACAGAGCUCAGGACACCCUUGCUUCUUGAUUGACUCGUGCUUCCAUGAGGGUUCUCAAUCUCUGCACCAUUUUCCUUUUGGGAUGGGUAAUUCUUUGUCGUGGUGGCCAUCCUGUGCAUUGGAGGGUGUUGACUAGCAUCACUGGCCUCUACCCACUAGAUACCAGGAGCAUGUUCUCCCUCAGUUGUGACAACGAAAAAAUGUCUAUAGAUUUUGCCGAAUGUCCCCAAAGGUGCAAAAUCUCCAUGGUUGAGAACUGCUACUUUCCUAUGAUGUUCACUUUCCAAAAACCGGUUAGGUAUAUACGGUCAUGCUCUGCACAUUUCUGCACGGCUGCUACAUUUCCCAUUAAGAUCAGUUCAAACGAAAAAGAGAAUCCACACAGUGCUUGGGAUGGAGUAGGUGCUCCACAUGUGGUCUCCUUUCCACGCUUCUUCCAGACCCGAUGCCCCGUAUCUCUGUGCACAUCCGGGAGGCAUCCUAUGGCAUAUCCCUGCAUCCUAUUUCCAGAAACCCAAGCCCUGCGUUUUAGCUACAUUUUACCCAGCCCGACUUAGCUACCUAUCACCCAUCUCAUCAUCUCCCAUCCUCAUUGUUUUGUGAAUUUUUUAACAUCAAAAAAAAAAAAAAAAAAGUAA
Canis lupus familiaris (dog) is the source of this 2076-nucleotide long non-coding RNA. RefSeq lists it as uncharacterized. The record is from RefSeq and is a predicted model, not a curated record. The transcript is spliced from 3 exons. NCBI's taxonomy places the organism in Eukaryota, Metazoa, Chordata, Mammalia, Carnivora, Canidae.